This 378-nucleotide ribosomal RNA is filed under the name uncultured bacterium. Its description in RNAcentral is "bacterial SSU rRNA". It matches the Rfam family "Bacterial small subunit ribosomal RNA", at positions 521 to 896 of the family's 1533-position model. The record is from RNAcentral.
UAACACGUAGGGGACGAGCGUUGUCCGGAUUCAUUGGGCGUAAAGCGCGCGUAGGCGGCCCGGAAAGUCGGAUGUGAAAACCUGGGGCUCAACCCCAGGCGUGCACCCGAUACUCCCGGGCUGGAGGCAGGUAGGGGAGAUCGGAAUUCCUGGUGUAGCGGUGAAAUGCGCAGAUAUCAGGAGGAACACCGGUGGCGAAGGCGGAUCUCUGGGCCUUGCCUGACGCUGAGGCGCGAAAGCUAGGGGAGCGAACAGGAUUAGAUACCCUGGUAGUCCUAGCCGUAAACGUUGGGUGCUAGGUGUGGGAGGACAUCGACCCCUUCCGUGCCGAAGCUAACGCAUUAAGCACCCCGCCUGGGGAGUACGGCCGCAAGGCUA